Molecule: ribosomal RNA, 200 nt
Filed under: uncultured organism
Description: partial small subunit ribosomal RNA
Rfam family: Bacterial small subunit ribosomal RNA
Source: RNAcentral
GUCAAAUCAUCAUGGCCUUUAUGCCCAGGGCGACACACGUGCUACAAUGGCCGGUACAAAGGGCUGCGAAACCGCAAGGUGGAGCCAAUCCCAGAAAACCGGUCCCAGUUCGGAUUGAAGUCUGCAACCCGACUUCAUGAAGUUGGAAUCGCUAGUAAUCGCGCAUCAGCCAUGGCGCGGUGAAUACGUUCCCGGACCUU